Molecule: ribosomal RNA, 619 nt
Filed under: uncultured diatom
Lineage: Eukaryota; Bacillariophyta
Description: SSU rRNA
Rfam family: Bacterial small subunit ribosomal RNA
Source: RNAcentral
AGAGUUUGAUCCUGGCUCAGAAUGACGCUGGCGGUAUGCNUAACACAUGCAAGUCGACGAGAGUUUUCGACUCUAGUGNCGGACGGGUGAGUAACACGUGAGAAUUUGCCUUUAGGAGGGGGAUAACAAUUGAAACGAAUGCUAAUACCCCAUAUGCUUUCGAGUGAAACGGAUUUAUCCGCCUAAAGAGAAGCUCGCGGCUGAUUAGCUUGUUGGUAAGGUAAGAGCUUACCAAGGCGACGAUCAGUAUCUGGUUUGAGAGGACGAUCAGACACACUGGAACUGAGACACGGUCCAGACUCCUACGGGAGGCAGCAGUGGGGAAUUUUCCGCAAUGGGCGAAAGCCUGACGGAGCAAUACCGCGUGAGGGAUGACUGCCUAUGGGUUGUAAACCUCUUUUUUCAGGGAGGAAUAAAUGACGUGUACCUGAAGAAUAAGCAUCGGCUAACUCCGUGCCAGCAGCCGCGGUAAGACGGAGGAUGCAAGUGUUAUCCGGAAUCACUGGGCGUAAAGCGUCUGUAGGUGGCUUAAUAAGUCAACUGUUAAAUCUUGAGGCUCAACUUCGAAAUCGCAGUCGAAACUAUUAGGCCAGAGUAUAGUAGAGGUAAAGGGAAUUCC